GUUCUUAGUUGGUGGAGCGAUUUGUCUGGUUAAUUCUGUUAACGAAUGAGACCUCAGCCUGCUAACUAGCUACGUGGAGGCAUCCCUUCACGGCCGGCUUCUUAGAGGGACUAUGGCCGUUUAGGCCAAGGAAGUUUGAGGCAAUAACAGGUCUGUGAUGCCCUUAGAUGUUCAACGAGUUCACACCUUGGCCGACAGGCCCGGGUAAUCUUUGAAAUUUCAUCGUGAUGGGGAUAGAUCAUUGCAGUUGUUGGUUUUCAACGAGGAAUUCCUAGUAAGCGCGAGUCAUCAGCUCUCGUUGACUACUUACGUCCCUGCCCUUUGUACACACCGCCCGUCGCUCCUACAGAUUGAAUGAUCCGGUGAAGUGUUCGGAUCACUGAGACGUGGGUGGUUUGCCAUCUGCGACGUCGCGAGAAGUCCACUAAACCUUAUCAUUUAGAGGAAGGAGAAGUUGUAACAAGGUUUCCGUAGGUGAACCUGCAGAAGGAUCAUUG
RNAcentral lists this non-coding RNA (497 nucleotides) under Brassica napus (rape). Its description in RNAcentral is "Eukaryotic small subunit ribosomal RNA". It matches the Rfam family "Eukaryotic small subunit ribosomal RNA", at positions 1290 to 1831 of the family's 1831-position model. Lineage: Eukaryota; Viridiplantae; Streptophyta; Magnoliopsida; Brassicales; Brassicaceae. The record is from Rfam by way of RNAcentral.